RNAcentral lists this ribosomal RNA (497 nucleotides) under uncultured bacterium. RNAcentral's name for it is "partial 16S ribosomal RNA". It matches the Rfam family "Bacterial small subunit ribosomal RNA", at positions 28 to 507 of the family's 1533-position model. The record is from RNAcentral.
GAUGAACGCUGGCGGCGUGCCUAAUACAUGCAAGUCGAACGCAUAGCGAAAGGUGCUUGCACCUUUCACGUGAGUGGCGAACGGGUGAGUAACACGUGGACAACCUGCCUCAAGGCUGGGGAUAACAUUUGGAAACAGAUGCUAAUACCGAAUAAAACUUAGUGUCGCAUGACACAAAGUUAAAAGGCGCUUCGGCGUCACCUAGAGAUGGAUCCGCGGUGCAUUAGUUAGUUGGUGGGGUAAAGGCCCACCAAGACAAUGAUGCAUAGCCGAGUUGAGAGACUGAUCGGCCACAUUGGGACUGAGACACGGCCCAAACUCCUACGGGAGGCUGCAGUAGGGAAUCUUCCACAAUGGGCGAAAGCCUGAUGGAGCAACGCCGCGUGUGUGAUGAAGGCUUUCGGGUCGUAAAGCACUGUUGUAUGGGAAGAACAGCUAGAAUAGGAAAUGAUUUUAGUUUGACGGUACCAUACCAGAAAGGGACGGCUAAAUACGUG